CCCGGCGGCGCCUACCUGCGAGAGCUGCCGGGGGUUGGGGCAGCCGAAGAGCGCGGAGCUGGAGCUGAAGCUGAUGGCCCCUCUGCGGCUGAGGACGUGCUGCGGCACCGGCCUGUCCAGCGGCAGCACGGGCAGCUGCUGCUCUUUUUUCCAUCCUUUCAUCUCUUUUCUUUCUCCUUCAUAAAAUCCUAAAUAUAGCAUGGUAGAACUGCAAUUCCCGUUGUCUUAUGGAUAGCUGCAAGGACGUAUGGACAUAUGACAGAGGGCCCUGGAUCACCUGCCUCAUCUUAAAAGCUUUCUUCAGCUGUUUUUCUCUAGUUUCAUGAAAAUAAAAAUGUCACAAGCAUUCACAGUAUGAUUUUAUAAUG
Cuculus canorus (common cuckoo) is the source of this 368-nucleotide long non-coding RNA. RefSeq lists it as uncharacterized. The record is from RefSeq and is a predicted model, not a curated record. The transcript is spliced from 3 exons. NCBI's taxonomy places the organism in Eukaryota, Metazoa, Chordata, Aves, Cuculiformes, Cuculidae.